AACGAACGCUGGCGGCAUGCCUAACACAUGCAAGUCGAACGAGACCUUCGGGUCUAGUGGCGCACGAGUGCGUAACGCGUGGGAACCUGCCCUUAGGUUCGGAAUAACUCCCCGAAAGGGGUGCUAAUACCGGAUAAUGUCUUCGGACCAAAGAUUUAUCGCCUUUGGAUGGGCCCGCGUUGGAUUAGCUAGUUGGUAGGGUAAAAGCCUACCAAGGCGACGAUCCAUAGCUGGUCUGAGAGGAUGAUCAGCCACACUGGGACUGGGACACGGCCCAGACUCCUACGGGAAGCAGCAGUGGGGAAUAUUGGACAAUGGGCGAAAGCCUGAUCCAGCAAUGCCGCGUGAGUGAUGAAGGCCUUAGGGUUGUAAAGCUCUUUUACCCGGGAUGAUAAUGACAGUACCGGGAGAAUAAGCUCCGGCUAACUCCGUG
Molecule: ribosomal RNA, 433 nt
Filed under: uncultured bacterium
Lineage: Bacteria
Description: partial 16S ribosomal RNA
Rfam family: Bacterial small subunit ribosomal RNA
Source: RNAcentral